This 114-nucleotide small RNA is filed under the name Salmonella enterica. RNAcentral's name for it is "RtT sRNA". It matches the Rfam family "RtT RNA", at positions 21 to 130 of the family's 130-position model. Rfam says of the family: This family represents a bacterial cis-regulatory element known as RtT RNA. Lineage: Bacteria; Pseudomonadati; Pseudomonadota; Gammaproteobacteria; Enterobacterales; Enterobacteriaceae. RNAcentral also lists the same sequence under 1 other name. The record is from RNAcentral.
GAUGAGAACCUCCGGGGGCAAGAGGUUCGACUCGAGCGCAGCGAGAGAACGUUGCUUCAGCAACGGCCCGCAGGGCGAGCCACGCAGUGGCGAGUCAUCCUCUAUCACCGACCA